CCCUUAGAUGUUCUGGGCCGCACGCGCGCUACACUGAUGCAUUCAACGAGCCUAUCCUUGACCGACAGGUCCGGGUAAUCUUUGAAUCUGCAUCGUGACGGGGAUAGAUUAUUGCAAUUAUUAAUCUUCAACGAGGAAUGCCUAGUAGGCGCAAGUCAUCAGCUUGCGUCGAUUACGUCCCUGCCCUUUGUACACACCGCCCGUCGCUCCUACCGAUUGGGUGUGCUGGUGAAUACUUCGGACUGCAACCGGUGCGGUUUCCGUACCCUUUGCAAAAAGUUGAAUAAACCUUAUCACUUAGAGGAAGGAGAAGUCGUAACA
RNAcentral lists this ribosomal RNA (321 nucleotides) under uncultured eukaryote. Its description in RNAcentral is "partial 18S ribosomal RNA". It matches the Rfam family "Eukaryotic small subunit ribosomal RNA", at positions 1470 to 1796 of the family's 1831-position model. The record is from RNAcentral.